Molecule: ribosomal RNA, 400 nt
Filed under: uncultured bacterium
Lineage: Bacteria
Description: bacterial SSU rRNA
Rfam family: Bacterial small subunit ribosomal RNA
Source: RNAcentral
AAUCAACGCUGGCGGCGUGCCUAACACAUGCAAGUCGAGCGCGAAAGGGGAGCAAUCCCCUAGUAGAGCGGCGAACGGGUGAGUAACGCGUGGGUGAUCUACCUCCGAGUGGGGAAUAACCCCGGGAAACUGGGGCUAAUACCGCAUGACAUCCCUGAGUCACAUCGGGGAUCAGAGCCGGGGACCGCAAGGCCUGGCGUUUGGAGAUGAGCCCGCGUCCGAUUAGCUAGUGGCGGGGUAAUGGCCCACCAAGGCUUCGAUCGGUAGCCGGCCUGAGAGGGCGGACGGCCACACUGGGACUGAGACACGGCCCAGACUCCUACGGGAGGCAGCAGUGGGGAAUUUUUCGCAAUGGGGGGAAACCCUGACGAAGCAACGCCGCGUGGAGGAUGAAGGCCUU